AUUGAACGCUGGCGGCAGGCCUAACACAUGCAAGUCGGACGGUAGCACAGAGAGCUUGCUCUUGGGUGACGAGUGGCGGACGGGUGAGUAAUGUCUGGGGAUCUGCCCGAUAGAGGGGGAUAACCACUGGAAACGGUGGCUAAUACCGCAUAACGUCGCAAGACCAAAGAGGGGGACCUUCGGGCCUCUCACUAUCGGAUGAACCCAGAUGGGAUUAGCUAGUAGGCGGGGUAAUGGCCCACCUAGGCGACGAUCCCUAGCUGGUCUGAGAGGAUGACCAGCCACACUGGAACUGAGACACGGUCCAGACUCCUACGGGAGGCAGCAGUGGGGAAUAUUGCACAAUGGGCGCAAGCCUGAUGCAGCCAUGCCGCGUGUAUGAAGAAGGCCUUCGGGUUGUAAAGUACUUUCAGCGGGGAGGAAGGCGAUGUGGUUAAUAACCGCAUCGAUUGACGUUACCCGCAGAAGAAGCACCGGCUAACUCCGUG
Molecule: ribosomal RNA, 488 nt
Filed under: uncultured bacterium
Lineage: Bacteria
Description: partial 16S ribosomal RNA
Rfam family: Bacterial small subunit ribosomal RNA
Source: RNAcentral